CCUACGGGAGGCAGCAGUGGGGAAUAUUGGGCAAUGGGCGCAAGCCUGACCCAGCAACGCCGCGUGAAGGAAGAAGGCUUUCGGGUUGUAAACUUCUUUUGUCAGGGACGAAGCAAGUGACGGUACCUGACGACUAAGCCACGGCUAACUACGUGCCAGCAGCCGCGGGAAUACGUAGGUGGCAAGCGUUAUCCGGAUUUACUGGGUGUAAAGGGCGUGUAGGCGGGGAAGCAAGUCAGAUGUGAAAACCACGGGCUCAACCUGUGGCCUGCAUUUGAAACUGUUUUUCUUGAGUGCUGGAGAGGCAAUCGGAAUUCCGUGUGUAGCGGUGAAAUGCGUAGAUAUACGGAGGAACACCAGUGGCGAAGGCGGAUUGCUGGACAGUAACUGACGCUGAGGCGCGAAAGCGUGGGGAGCAAACAGGAUUAGAUACCCUAGUAGUC
RNAcentral lists this ribosomal RNA (443 nucleotides) under uncultured bacterium. RNAcentral describes it as "partial 16S ribosomal RNA". It matches the Rfam family "Bacterial small subunit ribosomal RNA", at positions 338 to 795 of the family's 1533-position model. The record is from RNAcentral.